UCAGAUGCGAAAGCGUGGGUAGCAAACAGGAUUAGAUACCCUGGUAGUCCACGCCGUAAACGCUGUCUACUUGGAGGUUGAGGUUUUAGACUUUGGCUUUCAGCGCUAACGCAUUAAGUAGACCGCCUGGGGAGUACGGCCGCAAGGUUAAAACUCAAAUGAAUUGACGGGGGCCCGCACAAGCGGUGGAGCAUGUGGUUUAAUUCGAUGCAACGCGAAGAACCUUACCUACUCUUGACAUCCAGCGAAGCCUUUAGAGAUAGAGGUGUGCCUUCGGGAGCGCUGAGACAGGUGCUGCAUGGCUGUCGUCAGCUCGUGUUGUGAAAUGUUGGGUUAAGUCCCGCAACGAGCGCAACCCUUAUCCUUGUUUGCCAGCACAUAAUGGUGGAAACUCCAGGGAGACUGCCGGUGAUAAACCGGAGGAAGGUGGGGACGACGUCAAGUCAUCAUGGCCCUUACGAGUAGGGCUACACACGUGCUACAAUGGCAGAUACAGAGGGCAGCGAGACAGCGAUGUUUAGCGAAUCCCUUAAAGUUUGUCGUAGUCCGGAUUGAAGUCUGCAACUCGACUCCAUGAAGUCGGAAUCGCUAGUAAUCGUGGAUCAGAAUGCCACGGUGAAUACGUUCCCGGGCCUUGUACACACCGCCC
RNAcentral lists this ribosomal RNA (649 nucleotides) under uncultured bacterium. RNAcentral's name for it is "bacterial SSU rRNA". It matches the Rfam family "Bacterial small subunit ribosomal RNA", at positions 747 to 1395 of the family's 1533-position model. The record is from RNAcentral.